Molecule: ribosomal RNA, 468 nt
Filed under: uncultured bacterium
Lineage: Bacteria
Description: partial 16S ribosomal RNA
Rfam family: Bacterial small subunit ribosomal RNA
Source: RNAcentral
GAUGAACGCUGGCGGCGUGCUUAACACAUGCAAGUCGAACGGAAAGGCCAGUGCUUGCACUGGUACUCGAGUGGCGAACGGGUGAGUAACACGUGGGUGAUCUGCCCUGCACUUCGGGAUAAGCCUGGGAAACUGGGUCUAAUACCGGAUAGGACAAUGGUUUGGAUGCCGUUGUGGAAAGUUUUUUCGGUGUGGGAUGAGCUCGCGGCCUAUCAGCUUGUUGGUGGGGUAAUGGCCUACCAAGGCGUCGACGGGUAGCCGGCCUGAGAGGGUGUACGGCCAAAUUGGGACUGAGAUACGGCCCAGACUCCUACGGGAGGCAGCAGUGGGGAAUAUUGCACAAUGGGCGCAAGCCUGAUGCAGCGACGCCGCGUGGGGGAUGAAGGCCUUCGGGUUGUAAACUCCUUUCGCUAGGGACGAAGCGUAUUUGUGACGGUACCUGGAGAAGAAGCACCGGCUAACUACGUG